CCUAAUCCUGGCAUACAUGUUCAGUAAUACCAAAAUGAGCCAUGAGAAGCCAGACAUGAGUGAGCAGCUCUCCACCUUGCGUUAGCUCCUUGGCAUGUUCAUUCCGUGGACAGUGACAUGCAGCAUAACAUAGCAUCUCUACCCACACAUGACUCAUCAUCUCCCAUUUCUUUUCAUUGUUCCAUUUUUCUGACUCCAGAGAUUGCAAAGACUUGGCCAGCCUACAGGCAUCGAGUAACACUGACUUGCUUCCAUCUCCUUUCGCUUUCAAUGGUGGAAUUUCAGUGUUCACUUGAAGAAGAAACCUUUUACAAGAUUGGAUAUUUCUAUCUUUUACAGUCUGAAAAAUCUUUGUGGCCUUAGCACAGCUGUCUCUAAAUCGGAUUUGUCCAAUUCCAGGAGGAAGCAUAAGGGGGCGCUUGAGCAGAAGAUACACCAUAUAAUCUGAUAGCAGCUUGCUUGCUUCACGGUUUGAGUUCUUGGCAGGGCUUGAUUUUUUGUUUAGAUCAGUAUCGUAGCAGAGAUCAGUUGCUAGGUGCCAGACUAGAAUGCACUCAUCGAAUUCUCCCUCAAUGCUCCAAUGUAAGGUAGAGAAACAUUUCAUCUCUUCUAGUGUCCGUUUUCCUCUGUCAGCACAUAAUUCCUUGGCUUCCUUAAUGCCUGGGGUAUGCUUUGAUUUCUUCUGAAGCUGUUCAAAGAUCAUUUUUUUCAAAUAUUUGGGGACAUCUGAAUUCUUAGAAGAACACUUCAACAUCUGAGAAAUGCGAAAGAACUUCCUAACCUCACUGAACUUGAUAGGCAAUUUUUUGAAGCUGUAACUUAUUAGAUUGUACCGUGCCAUGGAAUCAGACCAUCUCUUGUUUGCAGGGAAGAGAUAAGGUAGUCGGCAACUAGAUAUGGCUUCACAGAUAAGAGUCACUCGUGUUCUUUCUUGUUUGUUCAACCAAAUCGUGGUCCAGUCAGAGGAACACAGUAGAAUAAUAGAAUAGAUCUCCAGAACAAUUGCUCCAGCCAGCAACAACCAUGUUAUAAUCACGUCAGUAGUUGAGUACUCAUGCUUGUCAAUUAUCAAGAAGCCGAUGAAUGUUGUGUUGGGAAUUGUCCCAAAUUCCUAAUUAGUAAAUAUUCCUUUUUUGUAAAGAACAUUGUAUAGAAUAUUUCUAGGUUGAUAUAUUAUUGUAAUAUUAGACUUCCUUAUUCAAUAAGGAAGGUUGUUGGAAAUAUCUCUAUAAAUAUUCUGGGUCAUGAGGGGAAAAAGUUAUGAGAUGGAGAUGGGCCUGGGCCUAUAGAGACUAUACGAGGUGGAUAGAGAUGUGAGGAAGAACGGGAGGUACCUGGUGGAGCGAGAGGGCUCGUAGUAAGGUAUGGAUACAAGGAGUGGAGAAACAUGGGAUGUUUCGGGAACCCAAUAGUUGUAUCUGGUUUUAUCCUCUGUAAUAUUCUCUAUCGUAUAGUGGAAUUAUUCUCUCUCAUCCGUGGACGUAGACAUGGUUGGCCGAACCACGUUAAAACCUCGUGUACCGUAUGUGUGAUUGUUUUUCUUUGGCGUGUGUUUUCUCUAAUUUUUUUGUUUCUCACGGGUUGGGAAUUCGGUUUAAUUCCCUACAACUGGUAUCAGAGCUUGGGUUGAAGAUUUCUGGAAGAGUAAAAGAUCACAAAGCACACAAGAUGAAAACAAAAGGAAUUUUCACUGAAGGUGGAGUCAAUUGCUCUUUCGUGGUGAUAUGAUACAAAAAGGUUUGUGUCAUGGAGAGAUUGAAGAUUAACUUCAUGUAAUUUGGUCCAAGGUGGAGAUUGUUGGGAAUUGUCCCAAAUUCCUAAUUAGUAAAUAUUCCUUUUUUGUAAAGAACAUUGUAUAAAAUAUUUCUAGGUUGAUAUAUUAUUGUAAUAUUAGACUUCCUUAUAGAAUAAGGAAGGUUGUUGGAAAUAUCUCUAUAAAUAUUCUAGGUCAUGAGGGGAAAAAGUUAUGAGAUGGAGAUGGGCCUAUAGAGACUAUACAAGGUGGAUAGAGAUGUGAGGAAGAACGGGAGGUACCUGGUGGAGCGAGAGGGCUCGUAGUAAGGUAUGGAUACAAGGAGUGGGGAAACAUGGGAUGUUUCGGGAACCCAAUAGUUGUAUCUGGUUCUAUCCUCUGUAAUAUUCUCUAUUGUAUAGUGGAAUUAUUCUCUUUCAUCCGUGGACGUAGGCAUGGUUGGCCGAACCACGUUAAAACCUCGUGUACCGUAUGUGUGAUUGUUUUUAUCUUUGUGUUCUUGAACUAACAUCGUUGGCAUCAAAGCUUCCGCUGGCACAACAUGUUGAGAUUGUUGGAAAUAGACAGAUGAAACGGAGUAGGAGAUCGAAUUUAUCAUAAGCCUUCAUUGGCUUGGUAUAGAAGAUGUCAUACAUGAAUCCAAGCUCAAUCUCAAUCACUUGGAAAGCUUCUGUCCAAGAUAUAUUCUUGAAGUAGGACUUGCUUUGUUCAAGGGCUGUCGGCUCAAGGACGAGAUCUGUAAAUAAACGCUUGAACUUGGGGAAGAAUUUGUUAGCCUUUUGCAAAGGGACUGCAUCUGGGAUACUUUGGUUACUGGGGUCUGGCGAAGGUAUAUAGUCGUCAAUGACCUCUGGGCCUGGAUGACGGAUAAUGGAAUCUCUAAAAUGAUCCAUGCUUCCGGACUUUAGAAACAAAGUUUUCUCCCCAAACUUGAUCAGUCCUGUCACAAACAUUGAAUAGGUUAGAAUAUUGAGUAGUGUGCGCUUCCAGGACCUUAAAAAGAUGCUCAAUGCCCACAGAAACAUCAAGAGUAGAUGAAUGAAGGGUCUUAUCCAUAAUUCAUCAUCUGCCAAAGAAUAGGCUGUGAUGGUGUCCGGGCCUCCAAGGUGGUGUAGCAGAAAUGGUAGCCAAAAUGCCCUUAUCAUAUCGUUUUGUUGUGAUGAGUAAUCGUUUCCAGCUCCCAGGCACUUGAAGAGUACGCCAAUAAAAAUAUCAAACACCAAAUCUUUGGUUGUGUAAGCUAGCCAAAUGGUGAAUCUAAGCAACUUUCCGGGUGUAUAUUUUCUCCUGUUGCCCAGGAGGACGAGCUCAAUUUGUAAGAGGAGGCUGACUAAAACCAAUCCACGGAGUAGCCACUCAUUAAGAAAUCUAACCACAAUUACAGGCAAAAUUUCUUGUACAGUCCUCCUAUUCAUGAUGAUCAUGCAGCCAAUACCUGAAAAUAUAAAAAUAAAUUAUCAGAUUAAUACAGAAGAUCUGAAUGUCAAUUGAUCAUUAGAAAUGACAGAGUGAAUUGAUGAGGAACAGAAUUCAGCAUGCUCAAAACCUAAACCUUUUGACACAUCUCAAUCAUACAAUACUACUAUGCUCUUUUCUUGUAGAUAUUACUUGCUCUUGACCCAAUGGACCUUUAAAGCUUUAAAAGUAGGAUGUAUCCAUAUACAAUAUAGAGAUCACAAUGAUUUCCGUAUAAACACAACAUCCUCAUUGUUCCAUGGGAUUGCAGGGUGGAUAGAAAAAGUUUUACAUUAGGGUCGAGGUUAGGGAUCACAUGUAGAGAAGCAUUGCAUGUGGAGGGAUUCGCUCCUCUCCAUAUAAAUAUUAUUUGCUCUAGAUGCAAUGCAUGUCUAUAAGAUUAAGAGAAGUUGUACACUACUACAAACUUUUUUCCCUCUAAGACGGUAUCACACUAUUAAUAAUUGACUAAGUAAAAAAUUCAAAAUUUUGCAUCCUCUCUUGCUUUCAACACAGUGAUUAGCACAUCUAAGCAAUUUCUUCCAUGAGCACAUUUUUGGAAAUGGGGAGUGAUUUUUGUCAGAGGGUGUUUCUGAUUUCAAAUAGUAAAACAAAAUGCACUUCUAAUUUCAAUUUUCAAAUAAUGAAGGAAACUAAUUACUUCACUACAAACCAGAUUCCGACUUGCUUGCCUAGAAAAUAGACACUGACACAACUGCAUGACAUUACAACUACAUAGAAAAAUGAUUUUCUCAGCAACCAAACGGAGCUCAACCCAACACCCAAACUCAUUCAGAAUCCCACAAACUUACAAAUAACAAUAACCUCAAACUCAUUAGUAUUCAUAUGGGCCAACAAACAAGGAUUAAACCGAAGCAAAUUUGUAUGUAAUCUAAGCCAAAGAAAACAUACCCACUUUUCUCCGAGUCUGUGAAUGUGAUGUGAGGGAGAGAGACACUAAGAAGUGCCAUGGGAGGUCAAGAGUGCAAGCAGAAAUAGUGAGUGAAGUCUUCCCUCCGUCAUUUUUUUUUGGUGUGGCAUCUCAGUGAGACCUACUUCUUGGUUUAAAAUUGCAGAUACGGUCUCUCUGUUAUUACUUUAAUUAGCGCGGGUCUGGAGUUUUGUGUAGUAACGUGGAUGUCAUUUAAAAUAGAAAAAGAUGCAAAAAACUCUUGGAUUUUACGUUGGUCCCAAGCGUGUUCCCGGUGGCCAGAUGUUUGUCCGAGAUUGACAAAAUCUAGGUGACCCUAUUAAUUUUUAUAUAUUAACAUUAAGAUUUGAACUAAUUAAACUCAAAGUGGGAAUCUAUGGCUUGUUUUGAGUUGAUUACAAAAAUCGAUCCUUCAUUUUGAUCUGUUUUGAUUCCUCUAGAUAACAAAAAUGAAUUUCUUUUCUUAUUAAAUCAAGUCCUAAUCAUAAAGCCAAACAUUAUAUGCCAAAACACUCAAAUAAUUUUAUCAUUAUAGGGAUGACAAUGGGCAGUUCUUCGGGGUACCCGUUUCGUCUUGCUCCUGGCGGGAAGGGUUUAGGAUAAAGAUAAAUAGAUUUGAGAUGAAUUUAAGAAAUUUUUAAAAAUUUAGGAUGAGUUUGAGGCGGGUUCAGGUAGGACUUUGUCCCACCCCAUCCUGAGUACAUACGAUGCCUUUAAAUUAUAAUGUUAUAUAUCCUUAAAAUCAUAAUAUUAAUGUUGUUAUUUGUAAUGUCAUAAUCACAUGUUAUGUUUUGUUUUCAAAAAGCACUAAGAAAAAAAACUUGUUAAGGAAAUUGAUUUUCUAUAUUUGGUUGUCCUAUGAAAAAUAUUAAAUAAAAUUAAAUAAAAUUAAAAACUUUUACAUUUUUAAAUAAUUCAAUCUUGAUAUUGAAAAGUUCAAAUAAAUGAAAUGAAUUUGAAGUGACAUAAAAUAUUUAUUGACUUUAAAUCUGAUUUUUAUUUUCUUUUAUUUUUUUUCCUUUAUUUUUUUUCCUUGCAUUUUUAUAUAAUCAAACAAAGUCAUAGUGUAUUUAUUUAGGAAGUUUCUCUGGCAUGAUUUCUUUAUGAUCUUUCUAUGUUCAUUAUUUUUUGGGAUAAUGGAUUCCCACCUCAAGUAUUAAGAUAUAUUUAUUUAAGUUUUCAAAGUGAAUAAAUUAGUGAGGACUUGAUUAUUUGUAUCCUUUGGAGGGUUUUUCUAUAUUAUAUUUGGUGUUCUUUUUUUGAUUGAAUGUUUUUGAAUUAUUAUUAUUCAUUAUUAUUAGGAUGUUAUUAUUGUUGAGAGGGAAAAUUUUGAUCUUUAAUUCAUUUAAUUACUAAUCCAUCCAGGAUUAACCCAUGAAAGAAUUUGAAUUGGACUAGAUAUAAAAAUUUAUUUCAUAAUUUAAAAAUUCUCUUGAAAACAAAGAAUUUAAAAACGUUGAGAAAAAAAACAUGAUUUUUCUUUACAUAUUAAUUAAGUACAGUUGGUUGACACAUGUUUUUAUUUAUUUAUUUAUUUUUAUAUAUAUAUUUUUUAAUGAAGUUAAUUAGUUCAACUCUCUUGAGUGCAUGUUACGUCUGUUAUCAUUAUAAUCUAAAAAUUUAAUUUAAAUUAUUAGAUAAUAUGUCAACAAAGCAAAGAAUCUUCGCAAUGAGAAAACCUUAAAUUUAGUAUCUUCAUAAUAUUAAAAUUGAAAAAUAAAGUUGUGGGCCUAUCAAGUUGAUUUAUAGCCAUUCAAUAUAGUGUGAAUGUUAAUGGAUAGUGAAUUUUAAUAAUAUUGGAAUUAGUAGAUAGAUAAAGUUGGAAGAUAUAUGAAUUUUAGAGUAUGUUUGACAAUAUUUCUAGGAAACAUUUUUAAUAUUUCUAAUGGUUAAAAGUUUUUAUCAAAAGAAUUAUUUUCAAAUGCUAAAAUAACUAGAAAUAGUACUUCCCAAGAUCACUACUAAAUAAUCUUCAUCAUCAAUUCUUUUGGAUCUCAACAUUGUUAUCAACAUGCUAAAAUUGAAGGAUUUUUUUCUUUCCUGACUUUCUAAAUGAAGUCGUAUUCCUUUAACUAUCAUGUGAAGCCAACUUAGGCUAAAUUUUAGUUUAUAUUUCCAAGGGAUGGUUAUUCAUAUACUAAAAUUAAUGAGUGUAUACCAUAUGAAUGGUUAUUGAUAUGCUUAUGACAUUUUUAAAUUAAUACAUCAAACUCAUGGGUAUGGAUCUUUCUCACUCACGUGAUAUCAUCUUCAUUCAUCUACCACUAUUAAAUAAUAUUUUAUUACUAAGAGAACAUGCGUCCUAGGCCUUCUAUCACCGGGAUAAUCCAAUGAUAAAAAUAUAAAAGAAAUAAAGAGAGAGAAAGACAAACAAGGUACAUUUAACUAUUGAACUGCCAAUUUUCUUAAAAGAAGUUUAGGGUUUAUUUGACAACUGUUUUCAAGAAUAAUAUUUUGUUCUCCAGAAAAAAAAAAAAAAAAAACAUGUUAGAUAACUAGAAAUUAUUUUCUGUUUUAUGUUAUUAAGAAUAAAAAACACAUUAGGCUUUUAACAAUUUUAUUUUUUUUGUGGUUCAGAGUCAAGAGGGUUGAGAAGUUUCAUACUCUUCAUUGUUGUCAGGUUCUCCUUUGCUUAGUAUUUCAAUUAAUCACUACUCUGAUUACUUAGCAGAAAUGAUACAAUUUAACUAGACAUAGCUUCUGGGGUGUGGGUUCAGCUAAUAAAACAUACCCUUUUUUGAGGUGAAAUUUGUUUUGAACUUGUAAUAAUAUAAUUUCAAGAUUGUGGUUCUCGCAAUAAGCUUCGAGUGUGAGAUCAAUUAAUCAAUCUGAUCAUCUGUGAAGUCUAUUGUUGAACAAUCAAACUAAGCUUAAACGAAUAAGAUCGAGAAGGCUAUAAACACAGAAAUGGUGAAAGCUUCCCACCAAGCUUUCACCAAGAUGUAUUCUGGAACAAGAAUGAACCAGAUCUGCAAAGAAGUGCCUGAAAGUGUCAAAAAUGUAGUAAGCCUCAUGCAGCAUGGCUGACUUGGGGGUAAUGCUGCUCCCUGCAUCUGUAUUAGAAUGACCUACUGCAGUUUCCUCUAAUAUCACUGUCCCCAGCUGUGAAAUCUUAAUGUCUAAUGCCAUUUGAACUAUACUUGUCCGUGAAUUUUAGAUAACUAGGCACUGGGUCAGGACAAGUUAGCAAGACUUCUCAUGUCUUUUUUAAUAAAAAGAUAAUUACCCUUUUUUAAUUAUUUAUCAUGAUUUGGUGGUAAUAGAGCCCUUGUAUAUAUGAGGAUGUGAAGUAGAGGUCCUAUUUCAUGAAGAAUAAUGAGUCGGUAAGAUCAAUCAAGGUGUAGACCCCGCAUUUCGGCUCAUGCACUUCAACUCGAUGACGAGCUCUUUUUUUAUUUUAAAAUGAUUUUAUUGAUUUAUAAAAUGACUUGGAGUCGCUAUUUAUUUUUGUUUAAUUUUUAAAAAGGUAAACAAAAUAAGAAGGAAAACCCUAAGUAUGAUUUCUUAAUUUAGAAAAGGUGGUCUGUGAAAAACCGGAUUAGGCUCGGGGGUCAAGUUACUUAUCGGAAAGGUACGGUAAAGACCGUAGCACCUCUCUAAGUCCCUAAAAACGGGUCUCUACUAAUAAAAUAAAGCAAUCAUGACAAUUAGUAAGAAGAUCAAUGGAUAUCCAAAAAGAUCAUGCACAUACGAGAAUCUAAACAUGCAUAAAAAUGACCAGAGUGAGAAUGAGAGUGUAUCUUAACAAUGAGCCACAAUGUGCUAUCAAUAAAGGAGGUUAGUGCACAAAUAAUGGACACAAAACAUAGCUCACAUGCCACUAAAUCGAAUACGAAAUCAUCAUAUAUCACAAUUCAAUCAAAUUGAUUUUCAAAGGAAACAUCCAAUAAUGUUGGGCCCCCACCAAAGCCCGUUUUAAAUCCAUUCCAUAAAUUUCAUCAUUUGGAAUUACAAAAUUGAAUUAAUGCUUAUUUUAAAACCUUUCAAAAAUCAUGGAAUUUAUGAAAAUUGCUUGCCAUAAGGGAAAAUGGCAGCAAAUUUUUAUUAAAAAGAAAGAAAUUUUUGGAACGUAAAAAAAAUAAAAAUAAAUUCUAAGGAUGAACGAGAAUUUGAAGGAUCAAGAUUAUUAAAAGAACUAACAUUUUGAAGGUAAUUUGCAAAAUGGGACUGAGAAAACAUUUUUUUUUAAAAUCAAAGAGAAAAAAAAAGUAAAGGGAGAUGACACAUGCAUUAAGGUGGCCAUGCGGACCAUUGCUCAACACAAGAGGCUAUAGCCAUUCCCUUGUCCUUACUGCCAUAUCAGUGUGACCUAUACUGCAUGGGGCGUCUGAACCUUGAAACCCUUUCAUAACCAUAUGAAGGAUAGAAAAGGGGGCCCAUGCCUGGAAGGUCUUCGUCUUCAACUGGCGGCCAUGCAAUCCCGAUUCAUUUAAAAGAGGAGCAUUCUGAACACUCUAUCUCAACAAACUCCACAUAAGCAAAUCCUUUACUAAUCCAAAUAGAAUAUUAGUUGAGAGCGUUCUUUCAUGGGCCUCAUCCACGAUCACCACGCUGUAGCUUGCCAGAUCUGGUUCACCAAGGAAUUCUCUCAAUAACAUUCCAUCAGUCAUAUAUUUUAGAACCGUCUUUUCUGUCGUGCAAUCUUCAAAACGGAUAGAAUAGCCAACCUCAUGCCCAAGUUUAACGCCCAUUUCCUGAGAAACUCGAGCUGCAACACUCAUAGCAGCAACUCGCCGUGGCUGGGUACGUCCAACCUUUCCACGCUUUGUGUACCCAGCUUCAUGAAGAUAUUAAGGUAUCUGUGUGGUUUUCCCAGAACCAGUCUCCCCAACAAUAACAAGAAUCUGAUGAUCAUCUACUGCUUUGAGCAAUUCAUCUCGAUAUGGAUAGAUAGGCAACAUUUUUCUAUCUUCCUGAAGUUUCUCUAAUUCUGAUUUUGCGACAUAAUCAUCAUGAGGCUCAGCAAAUAAACCAUCUUCAAACUAGUCACCAUCCAUCACAGAUGCCUUGAUGAAUUCAAUCUGGUCCUCAAAUACAAACUGACAGUCAUCUGACUUUUGGUUUUUAUCUUUUAAACCAAAUUUUAAGGUUGCCUUUCCAAUUUGAUGCUCCUCCCAUGCCUCUUGUUCUGCAAAUGGAUUAAUCUUAUCAUUUGCACUUGAGUCCCUAUAACACUGCAAAGCCACAGCAAUUCUCGUCUCCUGAUUUACACCCCCUUCCUGAUCAUAAGCUUCAAACAUUCUAUACUCAUUUAUAUCAUCAGUUUCUUCUGACCUCUUCUUCACAAGAUCGUAUAUUUCCCUUUUGUACCUUAGUUCACGCUGUUCUGCUUCAAUCAACUUCACGCCAUCAAGGAGAUAUUGUUCAUCUUCUAUAUCAUCUCUAAGCUCCUCCAGUUUCUUUUGCUCCAUUUUCUUUAAAUAUUCUUGUCUUGAAACUUUUCUUAAAGCCGAAAUGUCAUCUUCCUCCAUAGCAUUAGAUCUCCGGAUUGCUUCUUCUUCCUCCUUCCGUGAUAACUUUGGCUCUGUUAACUUUCGUGUCCCUGCUGCAUCCCGUUGUCUUAUAUUCUGCUAUUGUGUUAACGAGCAUCGGAUUGUGGCCCUUCCGGUAUCGAGCCAGCCAUGAAUCAUCAAACACCACACCCUCCAUGCAUUUUCAUUCAUUCCCCACCGACCCAUCACCCUAUCAGCACGUGGAACCCUCUUAGUCAAGGAUGAUACUGCUACGGCCAAUUAAGCUUCGCUUCUUGGCUGUGGCUCUCGACCUUUGGCUGAACUGGAUUCAUAGGUUCAAUAAACACAGUGAACGAAAUAGCUAGGCAAUCCCAUUCCCAAUGGAAGAUGCAGCCAUGGUUUCCCAUGCGAAGUUGUGGGAAGCUUUACUGGGAUCAUAGAACAAGGACGCAACACCCAUAGCUACCUUCAAAAUGUCACUGACAAGACUGAAGUUGCUGAAUCAUUUGGAUGUUCUUGUGAUCAAUUCUGCUCUUAGAUGACAUCCAAACUUUGAGAAUAUGUAUCCCUUGUAAGAAUUCACAGCCAGCCCUGAUUUCUGUCUCUCUCACAGCCAAUGUAUUGAACAAGAUCCAGGAAUAAAAGGCAACCACAGAAGAGAAGAAACCAUAGGAACAGAGCAUGAAAGAAAACAAAAUAAAAAAAACAUCCUCAAAUGAGGCUUCACAUGGGUCAUCAGUGAGCCCUCUGAUUAAGUGAGAAAAACCACAUCAAAUACGACUAUUGGCAUGAUUCUUAGGUAUUUCGCAAUAGAGGCAAGGUAUAUUAAGAUCAACAAUGGCAAACACAAGUUCAAGAUUAUAUAUCAACAAGCAACAAGUGGCCUUCAUCAUUCACCCCAAGCAAACCAAUAAAUAUCCAAAUAUCGACAAGAAAUGUAGAGGGAUAGUAAGGAUCCGAAUCAAACAAUAAACCUGUUGCAUUCAUACCUGAGAGUACCCUUCUUUAGUAAAGCUCUGUUCAGCUUCAAACACCUUAAAUCCACCUCCAAUGCCAACGAAACUAAUGAAACAGUGGAGCCAUCCUCCUCUACUCUCCAAAUAUACAGCUCUCCCUCUCUCUCACUCUCUGGUUAUCUCUCAAAACUUUUCUUCCAAGGUCCCACGAAAACUCUCCCUGUUACUCCCCUCCAGCUUGCUACCUCCAAGCUAAACGAAAUCCCCCUCAAAAUAUCUCUCUCAAUCAGCAAGAAAAAAGCACCCUUUCACCUACAGCUGGCUACCCUCAGAACAGAAUACACGCUCCUGCAGAAUCUCCCUUUACAAGUGUCCCUUUUCCAUUAGCUCAUUCAAAACACUAGCUGAUUCCCUAGCAGCCGAUCAGGAGGCAGCACAUGGCUCUUUGAGAGCCCUCCACCUGGCAAAAAUGAGCUGCAGGAACAUGAAAAAAAGGAGCCCCAAAAAUGGGGGUCUACACAAGGUCUCAUCAUGAUGGGUUCAAAGAUGUAGCUCAUUUUGAGCUCAACAUUUAGAGAUUUAGAGCAUAAGGUCUUGUGUAAGGUUGAAAAUGCAUUCCUUUUCUUUACAUUAGACAAUUGCUUAGAACAACAUCUGAGACACCAUUGUUCUGUCUAAGCUUUUAUUGGAGAUGAAUGAAGCAAUGGAUGUGAGUAGGUCUUUCAAUGUUCUGUUCUACUUCUUUGUUGACAUCAUGUAGAGAGGCCUAAGAAUUUUUACAAAAAUAAUAAUAAUAAUAAUAAUAAUAAUAAUAAUAAUUAUGAAAGUGAAUGUAAUUUAUAAAUUUGAAGUAGUCUUAGAGCUGUUUAGAUGAUUUGUGGCAUAUCAAACUUAUUGACUAGGGUAUUGGCCUUUCUCUUAAUUUUCAUCAGUGUUCCUAAUCGAUAUCCACCUCUGUCCUUGCAUGGCCUUGCAAAAUCUUGAAAUGUUCAGCUAUACCAAAAUGAGGCAUUAGAAGCCAAAUAUGAGUGAGCAGCUCUCUGCCUUGCCAUGAUGAUUCCAUCAAGCCAUUUUUUGAGCACUCACAGAACUUGGUUAACUGUGGGAACUUUAUUUUUGCCUUUAUUCUCCCCUGCUGCAGGCUAAACCUCAUGGUUCUGAGACCAAAGAAUUUUGUGAGUGUGGAAAAAAAAAAAACAAAAUUGGGGUAAGAUGGACUGGAGUGGGUUAAACAAAAAGGAUCAAUUAAUAAAUCCGAGUCAACCUCAGUCUAUAGGUUAUAGCCUUUUUCAAACCUCUUGGAUUUCUCUCGCCUAUAAUGUCAUGGAAAUUUCUUGAUGAUUUCUUCUAAACUAGGGUCUUGUAUGCUGUAGCAUAAGCCCUACUUCUAUAUCAUUAAUUCUGUAAAGGAACCACUAGAUCAUAUAACAAAUUCUGACCCUCUUCUUAAUUGCUCUUCUAGGUAGCAACUUUAGUGAAAUUGCAUUAAAAAAAUUCUACAUGGCUUGUAACUUGGCAAUCACCAUUGGAGACAGUUUGUUUAUUUGUUUGUUUUGGCCAUACCAUAGAUUUGUUCACUUGUGAGAGUCCAUUGUCAUAAGAAACAAAAUAGUAGGCUUGUCGCUUGUGCUCCCUGGCUACAUUUCAACAAAAUGUUAAGAUUGCUUUCAAAGGGGACGAAGUGAAGCCCUUUUUCUAAUCUUUUAUAGCUGUGUUGUUGGGGAAUAGUGUCAUGGUGUGAAAUGAACUACUUAAAUCAUUAAUUAAUAAGGUUAUUCCCUGAGAAAUAUGCAAAUCAAUGGUUUUAGUUGAAGGAAUAUUCCACAUGUGACUGGGAUUAUGGGAAAUGUCAAGGAAGCUAUCCCUUUCUCUCCGGCUACAAAAUAAAUUUGACGGCUCCAAUUAUUUUCUCUAGCUACAACCUAAAUUUUGCAGUUCCAAUCCCCAAGAUUUGAGUCUUGUAGAAGCCUCUUUCUCCUCAGUAUUAUGGGAAAAAGAGGAGGUAGAAUGGAGGAUCCAUGGCCAAGGUCAUUCUCUCAUGGGUGGCACAGAAGCUGUGUGUUCUGGUCAUUCAAGAAUCAGGCCCUUUGAAUGGACUAGAAGAAAAGGUCAGACAUCAAUUUUAUAUCUUUCACAGGAGGAAUCUCUCCCCUUUAAUUUGCCCAAUAUAGAUAUUUUUCCAUUUCAUCCAUACCAAUCAUUUCUUUUAUUUUCUUCCUUAAUUAUUAACUACUUUUAUGCAAAUGGAUGUAAGAAUGUUUCAGGUUCCCCUUAAAUAAAACAAAGCACAAAUGGGAGUAACAGUUCUAAGGAAAGACUCCACCUUUAAAAUGAAACUUAAAGCAAAUGCAACAAUGGUGGAACUCUCACCACCUCAAUAGAAACUCCUUUGAAUAAAAGGAUUGAAAACCAUUUUUGAGAAAAAAGGAAUUUCCAUGGAAAUGGAGAAAAUCGACCCAAUCUCUUUGUCAUCAGCAUUCCUAAUUCACAACCAGCCUAAUCCUGGCAUACAUGUUCAGUAAUACCAAAAUGAGCCAUGAGAAGCCAGACAUGAGUGAGCAGCUCUCCACCUAGCCUUAGCUUCUCGGCAUGGUGAUUCCUUGGACAGUGACAUGCAGCAUAACAUAGCAUCUCUACCCACACAUGACUCAUCAACUCCCAUUUCUUUUCACAAUUCCAUUCCUCUUCUGUCUCCAGGGAUUGCAAAGACUUGGCCAG
Molecule: long non-coding RNA, 13266 nt
Filed under: Vitis vinifera (wine grape)
Lineage: Eukaryota; Viridiplantae; Streptophyta; Magnoliopsida; Vitales; Vitaceae
Description: long non-coding RNA (VVIN_LNC001612)
Source: RNAcentral